This 547-nucleotide long non-coding RNA is filed under the name Ananas comosus (pineapple). RNAcentral describes it as "long non-coding RNA (ACOM_LNC021097)". Lineage: Eukaryota; Viridiplantae; Streptophyta; Magnoliopsida; Poales; Bromeliaceae. The record is from RNAcentral.
CCCCUAGGGUUGAGUGGGUAGUUGGUUGAAUAGUAUAAUCUAACGGUUGAAAAUGAUCAAAGACGUAGAUCUAAUGGUAAAAAACUUAUAAGUACCAAGUAGUUGGUACUUUUACAAGCCCCAUAGCCGGACUCUGUAUAUAUUGUGACACUCCAAUAAUCCCACAUCGGAUGGGAAUGGGGUUGUCAUUGGGUUUAUAAGAGACUUAGACACUAGUAAUAAUAACUAGGCUUAAGCAUUUUGGGUCGGUUGUUGGGCCCAACGAGUUAUUGUUGCUAGUGGGCUGGGUCGUUACAUUUGGCAUUAGAGCCGGUUCACUGGCUGGACAUGUGUGGCGAGUCUUGGCUGAGCCAGGGUCUGGAUGACGGGCUAGCAAGAUGAGUCUCACAUCGCCUGGUGAUCUUGGGCUGUGUGUGUGAUUGGACUGACGAGGACGUCAGGGCCUUAACGGCGGGAGUCUAUGACACUCCAAUAAUCCCAUAUCGGAUGGGAAUGGGGUUGUCAUUGGAUUUAUAAGAGACUUAGACACUAGUAAUAAUAACUGGGC